Molecule: ribosomal RNA, 473 nt
Filed under: uncultured bacterium
Lineage: Bacteria
Description: SSU rRNA
Rfam family: Bacterial small subunit ribosomal RNA
Source: RNAcentral
AGGACGAACGCUGGCGGCGUGCUUAACACAUGCAAGUCGAGCGGAAAGGCCCUUCGGGGUACUCGAGCGGCGAACGGGUGAGUAACACGUGAGUAACCUGCCCCUAGCUCUGGGAUAGCUCCGGGAAACCGGGAUUAAUACCAGAUACGACCACUUUAGACAUCUGUCGUGGUGGAAAGGAUUCCGGCUAGGGAUGGGCUCGCGGCCUAUCAGCUUGUUGGUGAGGUAACGGCCUACCAAGGCGACGACGGGUAGCCGGCCUGAGAGGGCGACCGGCCACACUGGGACUGAGACACGGCCCAGACUCCUACGGGAGGCAGCAGUGGGGAAUAUUGCGCAAUGGGCGAAAGCCUGACGCAGCGACGCCGCGUGGGGGAUGAAGGCCUUCGGGUUGUAAACCCUUUCAGCAGGGACGAAGCGAAAGUGACGGUACCUGCAGAAGAAGCGCCGGCUAACUACGUGCCAGCAGCCGC